Molecule: ribosomal RNA, 497 nt
Filed under: uncultured bacterium
Lineage: Bacteria
Description: partial 16S ribosomal RNA
Rfam family: Bacterial small subunit ribosomal RNA
Source: RNAcentral
GAUGAACGCUGGCGGCGUGCCUAAUACAUGCAAGUCGAGCGAACGGACGAGAAGCUUGCUUCUCUGAUGUUAGCGGCGGACGGGUGAGUAACACGUGGAUAACCUCCCUAUAAGACUGGGAUAACUUCGGGACACCGGAGCUAAUACCGGAUGAUAUUUUGAACCGCAUGGUUCAAAAGUAAAAGUCGGUCUUGCUGUAACUUAUAGAUGGAUCCGCGCUGCAUUAGCUAGUUGGUAAGGUAACGGCUUACCAAGGCAACGAUGCAUAGCCGACCUGAGAGGGUGAUCGGCCACACUGGAACUGAGACACGGUCCAGACUACUACGGGAGGCAGCAGUAGGGAAUCUUCCGCAAUGGUCGAAAGCCUGACGGAGCAACGCCGCGUGAGUGAUGAAGGUCUUCGGAUCGUAAAACUCUGUUAUUAGGGAAGAACAUAUGUGUAAGUAACUGUGCACAUCUUGACGGUACCUAAUCAGAAAGCCACGGCUAACUACGUG